GACGAACGCUGGCGGCGUGCUUAACACAUGCAAGUCGAACGGAAAGGCCCUGCUUUUGUGGGGUGCUCGAGUGGCGAACGGGUGAGUAACACGUGAGUAACCUGCCCUUGACUUUGGGAUAACUUCAGGAAACUGGGGCUAAUACCGGAUAGGAGCUCCUGCUGCAUGGUGGGGGUUGGAAAGUUUCGGCGGUUGGGGAUGGACUCGCGGCUUAUCAGCUUGUUGGUGGGGUAGUGGCUUACCAAGGCUUUGACGGGUAGCCGGCCUGAGAGGGUGACCGGCCACAUUGGGACUGAGAUACGGCCCAGACUCCUUCGGGAGGCAGCAGUGGGGAAUAUUGCACAAUGGGCGGAAGCCUGUCUCAGCAUCGCCGCGUGCGGGAUGACGGCCUUCCGGUUGUAAGCCACUUUCGCCUGUGACGAAGCGAGAGUGACGCUGACGGGUAGCGGAGCACCGGCUAGCUACGUG
This 468-nucleotide ribosomal RNA is filed under the name uncultured bacterium. Its description in RNAcentral is "partial 16S ribosomal RNA". It matches the Rfam family "Bacterial small subunit ribosomal RNA", at positions 28 to 507 of the family's 1533-position model. The record is from RNAcentral.